Molecule: long non-coding RNA, 194 nt
Organism: Oreochromis niloticus (Nile tilapia)
Lineage: Eukaryota; Metazoa; Chordata; Actinopteri; Cichliformes; Cichlidae
Exons: 2
Source: RefSeq, a predicted model, not a curated record
UGAAGGAAAGGUGUGGAAAUAUGAAUGGGCAGCACCCAACACAAACAGCCCUCCAACAUCCAGUGAAUACAGGAUCAGCAGAGUUUCAGUGUCCCACAGUGGAGACUACAGAUGUCGGGGUAGCAGUGACUAUCUCUUAACAGGAUGGAGUGAUGCCUUCAGACUGACAGUUUCAUCAAGUAAACCCAGAGCCA